This is a long non-coding RNA of Falco peregrinus (peregrine falcon), 11878 nucleotides long. RefSeq lists it as uncharacterized. The transcript has 3 exons. The record is from RefSeq and is a predicted model, not a curated record. NCBI's taxonomy places the organism in Eukaryota, Metazoa, Chordata, Aves, Falconiformes, Falconidae.
UUCAUUAGAUCCAGUCAACAUUAAUUAUUUCUUGAGUGGAAUCUGAAAGGUACAAAGCAGCUUUUUUCUAUCCAGUGUUCAUUUUCCAGAUUCCAUUUGACUAUGCAUUAAUGAGAUCACACUGCAGAGAACGAAACGUGAACCAACCCACUGUGCAAGUUUGCUAAUCCUCUACUCACUACUCGCUGAAACUAUCAGAAAGGUUAGGCCUUCCACCUUCAUAAUGAAAAAUAGGCACGAAAUGAAGGAAACCCAUAUUUAAAGAAAGAAAAACUAGAAUAUUAGAAGCCUUCUGAAAAACUUGAACAAUUGGGGAAGGCUGGAGCGCCCUGCAGGAUGGUGUUAUUGAGAGGGGUUCCAAAGCAGGGGGUAUUUCUGGUGCUAGUUUCUGUAAAGCAAGAGUGAAACAGGGAUACACGCUGCAGAUUCCAGACCAGAAGGGUUGCAAGGCACAGGCAAAUAUGUUGGUCCAAGUUCUUCAAGCAAAGAAAGGAUUAUUGUCGCUGCUUCUGACCAGGUGAAGACCGCCUGGCUGAAAUACAGCCCAAAUGUCACCUGCAGCAAGGCAGGGCUCGUGCCUGGCCACCUACACAAGUAGCGAGGAGAGUCCAAAGUGAAUUUGCUGGGUUUGUACAAAUACACAUUCCCCGUACGGCACAGAGGGGACCCUCUGCAUGUGCUCGUUGCCGCCACACUGGUGGAGACAAGAUCCACCCGACAAGCAAUUAGUAGAAGCUCAGCUUGGUUCAUUUUAUGGCUUCGAGGGCAAGUUACAAACCAGAGGGCAACAACAUCAGGGAAAAACCAACCCAAACCCAAGCCAAUUUCCCACCCCCACACAUGCCCCUGGUUUGGAGAGCAAGUAUAUUUGUCAUUUGGGAUUACAGGCUUUGAAGGAAUCAGGUUUGCCAACCCGAUGUGUUUCGUUUGCUCACUUAGAGUGUCCCUCGCGAGAGGAGCAACAACCGAACAAACACACAGAACAGCUGUGUUUGCAUUUAAACAAACAUUAAUUGAUGGAAGUAAUGAGUAACCUCAAAAAUAGUUUAGAAAGUUCAUAGCAUCCUCCAAAUAUUUGUAGACUAUUCGAAUUUAACUCAUUUAAUUACGUAUGUAAUCUUUUAUUGCAACAGUGUCUAAAAGCAAGGAGGGGAAGCGGCACCAUGUUUGUACAUCUGAGUAUAACAGACAGAAGUAAAAGAUUAAAUCCAGGUUCAAUACUUCGAAAAGUUUCUUGACAGUAAAUCUACCUUCAGCCUCAAGUUUCCAGAGGACACAGUUAAGUUACACACUUCUGCUCUUUAAAAAAAAAAAAAAAAAAAGAGGAAAAAAUAUUCUAGAAGUAACCAAACAGCUGUGUCUCUGGCUUACUCCACUACUCCACCUCCUGCAACUGUACUGAUACAACCCGUAGAUAUAUGAGAAGAAGUUAGUAUUUACAGCAUCUUCUCUUUUGAGAAAGACAACAAGUCCUAACCGAUAGCUUAGGGAAGGCACAUGGACACUGCCUGGAGCCCCAGGCACGGUGGAGGAACCCCAGCACCCAUUGCUAAGGAAUGAAUCCCGCUGAGGUAACCUCUACAACCAGUUCUUGGAGUCACGAAAGAUGCAGCUUACCUCCUGUCCCUGGGCUGCCCUGGCUGGAAAUAACGCACAUAUUAUCGAUCGCACUCAGCACAAGCAGUUGUCUACUGCAGCAGUUCCUAAACCAGGAGCUAAGCCGAUGCAACCCAAACCCAACCCACUGAAUUCCAAGAGAACCCUCACAUGCAGAAAUCAUAUCACACCUCCCUAAACCCAAAAGUGAGGUUGCCACCGAAAGGAUGAGGACUCUUGCUCCACGGCACUGAAGUCACGUGCAAUUUGGUGUUAACCUUCUGCAUCCUAAGCGAAGCUAGCGCAAGGAGUCACUAGGCAAUGUGUCAGCACUCAAGGAAUUUAUGAACUGUAUAGUUGUGAACGAUUAAAAACAACCCCCCUCUCUGAAAAACCUCAAUUUGUGUCAGGGACUUGAGACUCAUUUCUUGGGGUCAUUAGGGCAACCGGCAGCAUUAGUGCACAAAUUCGAGGCUUCUCCGCUAGCAAAGUUAAGGGUCCUGCUGAGAAACUUGUUUCAUGCACCGUAUUGUUGAAAAGCUUUUAAAAUCUGCAGCCUUUUAAGAAAGACGGGGGGAAAUGUAUUCCGUAUUUAUGUAAAGGAUUAGGGCAAUGUGUAAUGGAAGAGCAGCUCGUAGCGGGUGACUGUGCGGUCCCUGCGCGCCCGGCGGGAGGUUCCUGUGCUCAGACGGGCAGCCAAGCCUCCAGGUACGUCGGCGCUGUUUCAGGAUAUACAUUUUUCACUUCUGGAGAAGCUAAACCGAUCCCAAUUUCUGAUCACAAACUCAGAAAAUACACAAAAAGCACCGGAUACAAUUUGUCAGGUGAAAUUAAACAGUUUUGAGGCCACAGAUCCCAAAGGUUAAAGCUAAAAGCACGAUCUACAGCUACUUAUGCUGCUGAGAGCGCUGAUCUCACACAGCAACCAUGAGAUUACCGUAGGCAGCACGCCGAAGCCGUUCAGAGGCUAGUUGGAUAUUUUUCAGUUUUCAAUUAUUUCUCACACACAGUUUUCAAACCCAUACUUCGCCACGUGAAACAUUUUGCCUUAGUAAAUUAAAGCUGGAAACCAUGCCAGGCUUUGUCUUAAUCGCAAGAAUAUAUUCUUCAGAUCAAAAUCACACGAUCAAAGGGUCAUUUUUAUUCUUUAACCAUUACUUUAGGAACGGCUGGUCAUUGAACCAGGCACCAGCCACAGCACUUCUCCCCUGCAGCCAGCACCUCAACCAACGAGCCGGCUGAUACCACAAACGCUGCGGCUUGCGCCCCGCGCAAACGGGGAUCUCUGGCGCUUAGCAGCCCUCGCAGCCAUGCCAAAACAGUUUGCCUAGCCACAAAAAAACAACACAACUAUUGAGUAACGCGCUGCCUUCCUUUCAGUACUCUCACAUCCCGUUUUUAAGGUGCUUUUCUCCGUUUUUCCUUUAAGUUUCCCUACACCGUUUAUUUAGUUUAAUGAUUUUGCCAAGGAACAAACCACCCAGCAGGUACAGCGAGGGGGGGUGUGUGUGUCUGUAGUUUCGCUGGAAUAUGUCCCCACAGAGACCUGCAGGGCCCCAGGAAGGACCAUGACAAGGAGCAGAAACGAUCCUUGAUGGCUCCCUUCCCACAGAGCAUGCCUCACGCUGCUGAAGCAUCUCCUAGACUGUCUCAAAGCACAACUUUUGUCCUAGAUAAAAUCUAUUUUUAGAAAAAGAAACCCUGUAAAAUAUCUGAGAUGGAGAAAGAAUGAAGUAUGCCUCUCGCUAAAUACUUUUAUCUUUGAUUUGUGAUCUGUGGCCAGAUAUACGAACAAAGGAAAAAUAUACCAUUUUUCCCAUUAAAAAAUGUGGCUGCACCAGAGAUUCCAUACCACGUUAGAAUUCCAAAGAGGAAAGACAUUCAGAGAUUAGCAAUAUACACCUCUCUCUUUGUACCAACAAACUGCAACCGGUUAGAUUAAUGACAAAAGUAGCUUUAGCGAGGGCUAACAUGAAACAGGAAAAGUGUUUCCUUCCUCUGGUUCCCGAGGGCUGACUUCCUUCAUGAGGCGGCAUGUCUUCUGUACGGCUGGCCAUGGAAGCAGCUCCCCUGCCCUGGCCGCACCGCACAGCCAUCCCGGCAGAACACGCCCUGGGAGGAGGGGGGAGAAAAGGAAAAACUAAAAAAAAAAAAAAAUUAAAAGAAGAAAAUAGAACAUGCAAAUUCACCCUGGCCCCUGCAGGAAGAGAACAAGGGAAUGAUGACUUCCACUAGGCUCUGGUCACUAGAAACUAUUUUAGUAUUCAUGGUUUUUUCCUGCAGAGAUGGAGCCACCAAGAGGUUUGACACGUGGGAGACGCAGACUCAGCGUUGGGGUUAAGGGAGUUCAUGGCGCUGCCCUUGGGUUGGACUCCAGCGAGUCUGGCAGCCUGGACGAACCGGUCUGCAGGCGGGCAGCGAUGUCUAAGGGCAGCCAAAGAGGACCAGCAGUUUCCAGGGCCGGACCCAAGUGCACUGCGGCGCAGGGUCACAUCACCACGGCGGCAGCACCGCACGCAGCUGCACCCCGGGAUCACAGGCAGGGCUUUGGGUACAGGUAGGAGUAUCACUGUCCACAUUCUUUAUUAGUUAACGCUCAACGCUUGCCUUGAGGAUGAAAGAAGUUGCCUAAUAUGCGGAUCCAAAUAUCGGGGUUAUCAUGGAAUAUCAUCUGUGUUCAAUGGUUGUCUCAACUGAUAGACUCCUACAGCACAAUACACAGAACAUAUAGAUUUUUUCAUAUUAAUUUCUCUUUCUAAUUCAUUUUUUUCAAGUGUUGCAGUUGCAUCACGAACGUGACAUCAAACAACUUGUUCAGGCAGCCCUUUAAGCCAUUAAGCAUAAGACAACAGGCCUGGGUUUUAUUUUAAAUUCUUACCCCUAGGAACAACCCAAGCAGCAACAAGGGUAUGAUCCUGAGAGGCGAAGUUGUACGAUAUCGGACUAGACCACCCAGAUGCUUAAAAUUAAAAUACUUGGAGAUAUAUCAGACCAUAAUCCUGCUAAGGUCACACAGCAGGUAAGGUGUGGAGGUGGCUGCUCUCAAAAUUCUUUGCAAAACCAGGAGGAAUUAGCAACAAUUAGCAGCAGUCCUUACUGUCAAACAGCAGACCACGUUUUCUUUCUGGCCAGCAGCUGGCUCGUUAGUAUUUGUAAAGUAUAGCGAGAUCUACCAGCAGAAAGCGUGAGGGGGGGAAGCACAUCACCACCCACGCAUUACACAGACCUGCGUUAAUGUGACUCCUUUGAAACCUAGUCUGAAUUAAGAACUACAUAAAACUUUGAUGUAAAGCAAAUAAUCGUUCCGCUCCAAACACAAGCUGGUUUUGUGCUUUGAAGAUGCGUGGCAGUAAAGAGAGGGAAGUCACAAAUGAUUUCCAUGGGAAACAUAUGACUCCGCAGUACUCCUGGCGUUGCUCAGGCAUCUGCUCCUGGGUCUUCUGAUUACAUUGUGAAAGGAUGUGAAACCUCAGAAGUACAAUUUCUUGUAUAUUUUUACGUGUCAUGAGCACAAUGAAUGCGAUUGCUCCCAGGGGCCAGCCACAGAGCAUGCUUGUUGCUGGAAUCGGAAUGCACUGGACUCAGGGUUUGAUCUAUUAAAAUAGACUAUUUACAGCUAAGGUUUCCUUUUUAAAGAAACUUCCCCUUCUGAAAUCUCAAUUUUUGUGUACAUUUAGAGUUGGAUAGUACACGUAUGCUUACAUGAGGAUGCACCAUCACGCCUGGUGCACAUAUUAUGGGUGUAGUACUGAACAGUAUAACCCAUUUUCCCUCAAACAUGUAGUUCUCCACCAGAACUUAGCUGAGGAGCCCAACUUCCCUGUUUCAAGAGGCUGGAGUAUUUGCAGGACUUAUAAAAAAAAAAAAAACACCCUGCAUUUCUGAUGCUAUAGUAAGUAAAUUGAAUAAAAAAUAACUUUCAUUCACCAAAAGGCAGGAACAACCCCUGAUGGACUAACUUCAGCAGAUGACAUGUAAGAAAACACAUUCUUAGAGCUUUACAGGCAGACAGAUUAUGUGCUUUUAUUUACCUUACUGGGUUUUAUCCUGUUCUACUUAAGUUUUCAUCCUGCACUUCGCGAAGUGCCUGGGCACCUUGGCAAGCCCUCCUGCUGGGUGCCCCUUCGCAGCCCGCAGCCGCUUUGUCCUUACCUCCUGCCCGCCGCCCCCCCCCCCCCCCCCCCCCCCCUUUCUGGCGAGCGUCCGUACAGCGUGACAAAUAACUUCUGACCCACCAUAUGAAUUCUACAAAACCACUUUUUAAUUAAAAUGUUAUUUGAGAAUCCCUUCUUAUCCUAGCAUCUGAAAUUACUUGAAACUAAUAUUACACAUAUAUUUGUAACUCAUAUUUACCUGAAGUUUUAAGCUUCUUUUUGUCGUUUUUGUUUGUUUGUUUGUGUGGGGUCUUUUUGGUUUGUUUAGGGGAUUUUUUUGUUUGUUGUGUUUUUGGGGGGUGGUUUUAUUUUAAUUUCUAGUUUGCAUUAAUUAAGAAAAACCCCAACAAAGUAACUUCUCUAAACUAGGGCAAACAAAAGCUAGGGGUUCAUUCCAGACCACAUGCAAGGUGAAAGAGCACAUUAGCUCUUUUCAAGACAAAAAUAAAGAUCAUGUGAAGCAUGUGCCAACUUUCCAUAGAUAACUAAUAGACAGCAAUUUGACUUCCUAAUUGCAUUUCUGUUUUUCCAAGGGCAGAGGAAAGAGAAGAGUUUCAAGGAAAUGAAACUCCCCAAUUACAAGUAUCAGCAUGAUUAUAUUUGCUCUAUCUGUGCUGAGAAACAUGAUUUUUUCUUUCUAAGACCAGAAAUAAUGCAGAAAUAAGGCAGAUGUUAUACCAAGCGAUCCUGAGUUAAGGGUGCCGCAUGAAUUCUCUGGUUCACGUAGACAAUGUUGUGGGGUUGACAGACCCUCGUACCCAGAGGCAUAGUGACCCUCCUGAUGGUGACAGGGAGGGGAGCAUCCCGGCUAGUCGCAGCUUCUGAGCAGCGGCGAGCAGAUGGAGCUGCCCUCCAGCACGCUGUUGCUUCCCCAGCACUGCCUGCGCAGAAGGUGUGUUUCAUGGCUCGGGUGAAGUUUGCCGUGUUAAAUUAAGCAGACUCGGUACACUGCAGAUGGUGUUUUAUACAUCACGUGCCUCACAUCCACAUCUCUUCGAUGUGCUGAGAAAUGUUUUACUGUACACCGCAUCUCUCUUUAAGGAAAUAUUUCCACUACUUUGGCAAUAAAUGAGCGUUUGAAACCUCACAAAUUAUCAUGAAGACUACUGAUUUUCCAUCAAAAGCAACUCAAAAAUACACUAUUUUUUAUUCCUCCAGUACUAGACACGCUGUGACAGGGAUGCGGCACGAGAACGGAGCCCUGUGUCACAGUCCAUUUAGAGAUGCAGUGCUCCAGGGAGGAUGGGUGGGGGAAAUGCCGACGCGGACAGGAGCUCUGAGCCGUUCCUUAACGAAGCCUUUCGAAGCGCUCCCACUCUUUGGAAGCUCAGGAACAUGCUCAGCCUGGGAUAUCAAGCUAAAGAUGAUCAGCCAGGCUGAAUGGUAGAGUCACCUUUAAAGCUGGUUGUCUGCUAGUUCAUAGAGAACCUUUGUAUUCACCCUGUCAGAGAGCAGGACAGCUGAAGAUUCCACCGUGUUAGUAGUUAAGCAGAAGUUUUCCAGAAUCUGACCAUUUUUGGUUUUCUGCAAUGGGUGAUGAACAACAAUCCAUGGGCAAAACAUGAGAGCUUCUCUUAGAGUGCUGGUUAUUGCAGAUAGGGUUGGGGUUUUUUGUGUGUGUGCCCACUCCUACACCUCGGCCAGCCAACAGAACCUAGGCUUUUUUGAAAAACUUCCUCCAUGCAUAUUUUUCACUUGUAGUUUCUCAGCUUAAAGCGCAUAAUUUUCCUGGCAUCUGUUAAACUCAGGAAACAAACCCAAUAAUGAGCGCUGUUACAGGCAAAGGGAGAAGUAAUUGAGCUGCCAUGCCAAUAGUUCAUAAAGCUUAAAUCAUUCCAGCAACUGCUCCAUAUGGUUCCUUGAAUGAAGCCUAACUUAAAAGAGAAGCUUGAACUUGCAAAAAAAAAAAAAAAAAAAAAUUUAACAAAUCCUAACAAACUGAUUAUUACAAUUCUACCUCAAAGCACCACAUUGCUUCCUCUUUCAGAGAUAGGUUACUGCGUUCUGCAACAGUGCUCCGUGACUCGUAAUCAGAGUUCAGGUUCAGCGAUUUAAUGCAAUUCAAAAAUCUAUACUAGCCGUGAUAAAGCCGUCUCGGAGCAGACGGCACACCUUUGCUGAUCCUGAGAGCAGAACUCCCGCUCAGGGCAGCAAAGAAUCAAAGUCUGCAGUCGGCAAAGUGGACUGUGAUUCUGUGAGCAGCUGUAAUUGUCAUUCUGAUAAUACUUUACUAGUAAGAGCAGCAAUGCUUUAGUUCCUUCUCAUUCCCGAGGGCAGCAGCCCACGCAGGGAGUUGAUUUGUGUCAAGUGCUUGCCACAAGAAUUUAAAGUCAAAGUUUACCUUGAAAAAUAAAGGUUUAGGCUUCAAAUCGAUAGCCUUACCAGAUCUGUGGCACCCAACCUUUAUGUUUAUAUCCUUCUCAUUCUAAACAUUUCCAGAAUCUGAAAUGAAAGAUGAGUGGUAAAGGCAACGUUGUAUUAACUUUUAAAUGAUGGAAGGUCCUGUCCAGAUUUCUCUCUGAUUUCAUUAAACAGUGCUUAAUGAAAAUCACAGGUGAAGUGAUUUCAGAGCCUGCUUUAGAAGGGUGUUUGGCUCUCCGGGCACAUGGAACCACCGGCAUGCGCGAUUUGAGCAGUAUAUUAUUUUAUAUAUUAGAAGAACAAAGCUUGAACGGGUAGGAGCAAGUCCUGCCUCCGUCCAGAAGCACAAUGUGUGUUGGUAAGGGACUUUCUUGCAUAUAGGGGAAAAAAACCCAAAUCCAAACAACAAGACCAACAAACCACCAGACACAAAGAAAAGGCUGUCACCACCUAGGAACUUCACGAGCACCUUUGCUAAAAGAAUCUAAAACUAAGUGCAAGCUUUUGCAAAACCGUAACCUUUACCAGUGCCUUGGAUUGCCAGAGAUUUCUGUUUAACAGAAGGAUCUGCCCAAAGUGUUGGGAACUUCUAGUGAAAUUUCAGUGCUUUAGUAAUUUCCUCAAGGACCAAACACAGCAGUGUCAAGAGCUGAUUUUAGGGUGGGUUUUCUUCCCCCGCACCAAAAAAAAAAAAAAAAAAAAAAAAAAAAAAAGGAAAGAUACAGGUAGAAUGCCAGACGUCCUCUGUCAGCUUCUCAAAGACUAAAACAAGGAGACAUUGGAACCGGCCAUGGCACGGCUCCAGCGGCGGUAGGAGGAAAGCUUGGGCUGCCAAGAAUCCCAGCGAUGGAGCGCAGAGUGCUGAACUUUGCCUUACAUAGCGGCUGACAAGCCCAGAGGUCUGCAAGGCAUUCAUAUUUUCAUUUAGCUUCACUUGCUUACAAAAAUGUAAACUGUGGGAAUCCAGGGGGGGAAAAAGAGGGGGGAAAAAAAAGCAGCUUCCAUCGUCAGUUACUAAUUCAUACUGCGUUAAGGCAGCAGGCACAGGCCAGCUUUCGCUGGGGUAUCCAGCUACUCCAGAUUUCUUUUAACGUACCUUCUGAUAAACACUUUUCCCCCUGUAUUGACUGGUUAGGUCAAGAGGUGAGUAAAGGCACCCUAAGGGCCCUACUUUGCCAGCAAUAGCCAAGGGAAAACCUCCCGUGACAUGCCUCACAUUUGCAUUUCACUGCCAAAGUGUUUAAUCCUGCCCCUGGACAGCUGAGUGAACAAAUUCCCAAACCCUUCCACAGCCAUUUUCUUAGGUUACCUUUGCCAAAGGGCAACGGAUUCAUUCUUGGAGGGGUUUUAUUGUCUUGAUUCUUUGGCUUGUUGCUAUGCUGGUGCCUUGCUGUGGCAUCAUGCUCAUUCUUACCGGUUCAUUUUCAUACACCUGGUACCCUCCAAAGCACAAGUCAGCAGGCUGGGGCUAGGGUGUUAACUAGCUUUGUUGUGAAUUUGGUUUAAAUCAGAACAGCUUCAACUAAAAUAAAUAGAUUUUCCUCUUCACUUCAGUGAAAAAAAGCAAACAAGUGAGUUGUUCAGGUUUGACAUUUAAAAACAUCUGAAUGUUGCACUUCGCAGAGUUACUUUUGUUUAGAGCAUGUUGCUUUUUCAGUCAUGCUUUGGAUAAGGCCCAAUAAUUUGGCUUUCCCAAAAUAUAUUUUGGAGCACAUGUUCUUUUGUUGUUGAUUUUUUGCAGGUUUUGCCAAGAAUGUUCAAAUGUUUGAGGCUGAGCAAGAUCCACGGUUGUUUUUUUCCCCCCUCCCUUCUCAAGAAAUCUGUUUCCCCAGUUCAGUCACAACUGAUCUCUAGUUUUAUUGCCCAGGUGGAAACUUCAAUUCUAGAUCACGGACAGAGUUUGCAAAGGCUUUCAGGUGCCUCACUCCCAUAUGAACAACAGCAACCACUAAACUCCACGGAGAGCUGUGCUGGUAUUUCAUGCUUUCUCAGCAAGCACUGUGCUAUCAGGUCAGAUUCUUUCCACCUCUCAUUCCCUGCCCCUCCCUGCAAAGGAAAUACCAAGAAAUUGUUCUCUGGAGGAACACGUUCGAUUUCAGGGACACUGGAAGUUGCCCUGUUACAACCCCACUAAUCUUCAUGCCCCUCAGAAGACAAAUGAGCUGGGCAGUCCCUUGGCAGGGUGGCUGCUGCAGGGAGCUGGGAGGCCACUUGCUGGACCCUGGCCACCCCCUAGCUCUGGAGGCUGCAGCAGCUCCCAGGGGAGCAUCUUACACACGGGCUUUCCCUCUCCCGGCGAGGGAUGGGCUGGAUGUGUCCAGGGGCGUCGGAUGUGCUGCAUCCUAUUCUCUGCCUGAAGAUUGAGGGGGAGCUGUGAAAGCUGGCUUUAUGGGACAAGGGGGCUGCUGUAGUAAGGGAACCCAAGUGCCUUCCCACAGUAAAGCACCUAUUCAGGGUUCCUGCUGGGGAAGCUGGAGGCAGAGAUGCUCCUACACUUGCUAUUAGCCAGUGACACAGCAGGAUGGCAGGGCAGCGGGGAGAGGGGAUCUGUGCAAAGCAGUCCUGUGUGAACAAAGAAAGGGGAUUUGUAAACUGCUGAAGUAUCCGUCAUGUGAGUUUUGUUUCCUUUUCAGUUCUAAUUGAGAUUUUUAAGGCAGCAGGAACACCACUUGCUGCUCAUGAUGCUGUAUUUCUGCUAUGCAGAACAAAGCCCCAACACACGACAGUCACAGUAAUGCACACCCGGCUGCAGAUUAAACAAGAGCCUCCCACACGCACAUCCCAUAUUUUAAGACAGUUGAAUCCCACCUUUUCCAUUAUGCUUGUGUUCACACUUAGGCCAUCAGGUCAAGUUUCCAGCCUGACAGCUGACCUCUGACCACGGUGUUAAUUUUUUCUUGUCAAUGUCAAAUAGGUAACCACAACCAGAACCCCACUCCAGGAACUACAACACCAGUUGCUUCAUCUGCACUAGCAGCCUUGAGAAGAUUACUAAUCCUUCCACCCGUGUGCAGCGUGACAUAUAGGUAGGAUGGUACAAAACCAAGGAGUUGACCCUGCUGGGGUUGUAUUUCAAGGAUUUCAGACCUUGUUAGUUCAAAGCUUAGUUUUCUCACAAGAAUUAACAUAUCUUAAAAGAGUGCCGUAACAAUUACGUUGAACAUGAGUACCUUUAGCGGCCACUGUAUCCAUUUGACUGAGCCCUCCCACUGUAUUGUAUAACCCAGCGUGCUCCCAUAGUUAUUAUUAAUGAGUGAUACAUUAAUAGAUUUACCAUAUAAUCACAGAUAAAGCAAGAGAGGAAAACUGUUACUAAGAAACACAUGAUAGCAAGUCUUAAAAUACUCUGGGAUAGGUUUGAACUACUUGCUAGCUAGGAAACUGCUGAAUCAUACCCGUAGGCUCAUACCGAAAAUAGUAUUUCACUUGGCAAAGCACAUACAAGCUAUCAGCGUUCCCUGCGGUGGGAAGUCUGCUGAAGAGCUGCAGAGGGUGAAGAAGUGUCCUCCUUGAAUACUUGGAAGAAAAAGAAUAGCAAGUUUGUUUUCUCCUACUGCAGCUCUUCCUUUCACAUUAAAUGUUAACAGAACAGGAAAGCCCCCAACACAUUUUCGAAGCAUUCUGAAUUUGAGACACCUUAAAAGAAACUGUACUUGCCUUUCUACACACAUGGCAUCGGUGGGUAGCAGGUAUUGCUCAUCCCUCUGUUGUAGUCCCCUCUGGUGGGGGGGCAGUGCUCUCAGUACAUAGUCUAUAAGCUAUUUCUU